GUGGACCUACGGGACGCAGCAGUCGAGAAUCAUUCACAAUGGGGGAAACCCUGAUGGUGCGACGCCGCGUGGGGGAAUGAAGGUCUUCGGAUUGUAAACCCCUGUCAUGUGGGAGCAAAUUAAAAAGAUAGUACCACAAGAGGAAGAGACGGCUAACUCUGUGCCAGCAGCCGCGGUAAUACAGAGGUCUCAAGCGUUGGUCGGAAUCACUGGGCGUAAAGCGUGCGUAGGCUGUUUCGUAAGUCGUGUGUGAAAGGCGCGGGCUCAACCUGCGGACGGCACAUGAUACU
This 290-nucleotide ribosomal RNA is filed under the name uncultured bacterium. Its description in RNAcentral is "partial 16S ribosomal RNA". It matches the Rfam family "Bacterial small subunit ribosomal RNA", at positions 333 to 634 of the family's 1533-position model. The record is from RNAcentral.